AAAUCAAAAAAAGGGAGUCCCCCAAAGAAAGAAAGCAAGCCCAGCCAGCAGCUCCUUCCUUCCUUCCUUAUCGCGUGCGUGAUGAUGAUGAGUUGGUGUCUCUGCAGCACCACUCAUGGCCAUGGUGGGGUCUCUUCCAUUGCUCUCGCUUAUGGUCUUCGCCGUAGACCAAGAAUAUCAUCGACUUUCCGGAUCCGCGCCACUUCUGACGGAGUAGAAUCCAAGGAUGAUGACGAACCUCUUCUUCCUGAUAACCCGCCGGUCUCCUCCUCAUCCUCUUCUUCUGCUCUCGGUAAAGACUUGAAAAAGGUAGUGAACAAGACUGCUGCAACCUUUGCCCCGCGGGCUUCCACCGCCAGUAAAAACCCAGCUGUCCCUGGAACUACUCUCUAUAAAGUUUUUGAGGUUCAAGCGUAUGCAUCUAUGUUCGUUGGAGGGGUCCUUUCUUUCAACCUCCUCUUUCCCUCCAACGAACCUGAUUUAUGGAGGCUCAUUGGGAUGUGGUCCAUUUGGAUGUUCACUAUCCCUUCUCUUCGAGCACGAGACUGUCCAAGUAAAGAGAAAGAGGCUCUUAACUACCUCUUUCUCAUCGUCCCCUUGCUCAAUGUUGCUAUACCCUUCUUUUACAAAUCCUUUGCUCUUGUCUGGUCUGCUGAUACUGUUGCCUUCUUUGCCAUGUACGCCUGGAAGCUUGGAUGGCUGGAAACAACAGAGUAGGGUGUACCUGUGUUGGGAUUCUUUGUCUUCUCUUCCUUUGAAUCAUUCUUCAUUUAGCUUCUCUGUCGAACGAAGCCUAUCGUGUCAGGAAGCGAGAGAGAAGGAGAGGCUCAACUUGUUUGGUUCUAGGCUAAGCCUUUUCUCAUCUUCUCCAGUGUACUCUUGAUAAAAGCAUCUGAUUUCUUAUUUAUAUCAUCUAGAAGGGGCCUCAGACGUCUAUGCGGCUGUGGUGGUGGUUUCCCUGCUUCAGGCUGGUUGAUUUGUUGCUUGGGGCUCGGCUCACCCAACAUGCUCUUCUUCCCCUUCUCAAGUAACCUCUUCUUAGGGCCGUUACUACCAUUAGCUAGUCUGAUUAUUGUCUCUUUCUCUGAUUCUUGUAUUGACGAGCCAGGGGAGUUGUUCUUGGAUUUGCCGUUAUCCUCCGAGUCUUCUAUUUGCUUGAAAUGAAUAGUGAUGUCAGUCCUUGAUCCCU
This is an RNA transcript of Camelina sativa (false flax), 1189 nucleotides long. It is a transcript of the gene named protein RESISTANCE TO PHYTOPHTHORA 1, chloroplastic, with no coding region annotated. NCBI's taxonomy places the organism in Eukaryota, Viridiplantae, Streptophyta, Magnoliopsida, Brassicales, Brassicaceae. The record is from RefSeq and is a predicted model, not a curated record.